This 579-nucleotide small RNA is filed under the name Aspergillus arcoverdensis. RNAcentral describes it as "eukaryotic LSU rRNA". The stretch from base 218 to 371 matches the Rfam family "5.8S ribosomal RNA". Lineage: Eukaryota; Fungi; Ascomycota; Eurotiomycetes; Eurotiales; Aspergillaceae. The record is from RNAcentral.
UUUCCGUAGGUGAACCUGCGGAAGGAUCAUUACCGAGUGAGGGCCCUCUGGGUCCAACCUCCCACCCGUGUCUAUCGUACCUUGUUGCUUCGGCGGGCCCGCCGUUUCGACGGCCGCCGGGGAGGCCUCGCGCCCCCGGGCCCGCGCCCGCCGAAGACCCCAACAUGAACGCUGUUCUGAAAGUAUGCAGUCUGAGUUGAUUAUCAUAAUCAGUUAAAACUUUCAACAACGGAUCUCUUGGUUCCGGCAUCGAUGAAGAACGCAGCGAAAUGCGAUAAGUAAUGUGAAUUGCAGAAUUCAGUGAAUCAUCGAGUCUUUGAACGCACAUUGCGCCCCCUGGUAUUCCGGGGGGCAUGCCUGUCCGAGCGUCAUUGCUGCCCUCAAGCACGGCUUGUGUGUUGGGCCGCCGUCCCCGGUUUCCCCCGGGGACGGGCCCGAAAGGCAGCGGCGGCACCGCGUCCGAUCCUCGAGCGUAUGGGGCUUUGUCACCCGCUCUGUAGGCCCGGCCGGCGCCAGCCGACACCCAACUUUAUUUCUAAGGUUGACCUCGGAUCAGGUAGGGAUACCCGCUGAACUUAA